Molecule: RNA transcript, 1343 nt
Organism: Panicum virgatum (switchgrass)
Lineage: Eukaryota; Viridiplantae; Streptophyta; Magnoliopsida; Poales; Poaceae
Gene name: imidazoleglycerol-phosphate dehydratase 3, chloroplastic-like
Exons: 8
Source: RefSeq, a predicted model, not a curated record
UGCACCUCAACCAAGGCCCAACACCCAGCCCCUCUCCCCAAUUCCGCCGUCCGCUCCCACCGCGCAACCCGCCGGGGCGCCGCCGCCGGCGAUGACCACCCCGCAGUCCGUCUCCACCUCUCCCGCCCGUAUAUCCUACACGCCGACCUCCCCAUUUCCAAGAUCCUUGGGGAGGGAUUGCGGUCGGGUCCUCGCUUUCCCCGCUAGGCCGCGCGGUUUCUCGCUCCGCCUCAGGUCGUCGACUGUUAUGGCCGCCGCCGGCGUCGGCGGCAGCGGCUUCCCCCGCCGCGCCCGGAGACUCCACAGGGUCUUCUAGGAUCGGAGAGGUUAAGAGAGUGACCAAGGAGACAAAUGUGCAUGUGAAGAUAAACCUUGACGGCACCGGUGUUGCCAACUGUAGCACAGGGAUACCGUUCUUGGAUCAUAUGCUCGAUCAACUGGCAUCACAUGGACUCUUUGAUGUGUACGUUAAGGCAACAGGUGACACACACAUUGAUGAUCAUCACUCAAACGAGGACAUUGCUCUGGCAAUUGGAACGGCACUACUUCAAUCACUUGGUGAUCGGAAAGGGAUUAACCGAUUUGGGCAUUUUACUGCACCACUCGAUGAGGCAGCAGUUGAGGUUAUACUGGAUCUGUCGGGUCGUCCUCAUUUAAGCUGCGGCUUAGAUAUUCCUACUCAGAGAGUCGGUACAUAUGAUACACAGCUGGUUGAACACUUUUUCCAGUCUUUGGUGAAUACAUCUGGGAUGACUCUUCACAUCUGUCAGCUUGCUGGGAAGAACUCACACCAUAUUAUCGAGGCAUGUUUCAAAGCAUUUGCUAGGGCCCUUCGACAAGCAACAGAAUAUGACCUGCGCCGUCAUGGCACUGUCCCCAGCUCCAAAGGUGUUUUGUCAAGAUCAUAGCACUACAGGUUCAAACGAUUGCUUGCCAGCUUUUAGCUUGCAGCGAUCAGAGGAAACAAACAAAGCGGGCAGCUAUACACAGCUUGGUUUGUUCUGCUUUACAUCGGGAGUCUGCAUUACCUUUGACAACAAGUUAUGGCAUCCUUGCUAAUGAGAUUGUCAAAAAUCGAAUGUGCCACCACCCGGUAUUGGGCUUAUUUACAACAGCGGUCUAAUGCAUCUGCUCGCUGCUGCAAUUUUCUCUGCUGUCUGGAGCUACGAGAUUAUCUGAAGAUUGGAAAGGAGUAGACAAUAAGCUGCGACUCUGAAAGCAACUCCAGUCAGGAUUCAAGAAUAAUGCUGUGCCUUGUAUAAACUUUGCAGCAUGGGCUGAUUUGAGCCGCAUAUGUAAUGAUUGUCAUUUUUCAAGGGAAUAAAAUUGUUUCUGUGCGUCUA